CUGGGCACGCGGGCCGCGGAGGGACGUCCCCGGGAGAACCCGAGCCCGGGCUCUCCUGAGCCCGCGCCGCUGGGCAUGGGCCCGGCCUCCGCGGUGCCCAGGACAGGAGCACAGCUUCCGUUCACUGAGGGGUAAACUGAGUCCCGAGCCGGGAAAGCGCCCAGCCUGGCUCCUGCGGAUCCGUGGGUCUCGAUUCCCGGCCCGUGGCCUGGGCUGCCGCGUGUUAGGUGAGGUGGGCAAAACGGCGCCCUCUGCCGGCUGGGCCGCAUUCACAGACAGGGACGCGACUGGAGAAGGCAAGUUCUGCCCAGGUCCGAAGCGGUGCGUGGCGGGGCUCCGACCUGGCUGUCCCGGGAACGAGACCGGAGUCAGAGGAGUGCGGGCCCAAACAGCGGUCACCCGUGGCUCGCGCACACAGCAGCCGGCGCGUCCUGAGAGGCCCCCUAAGGAGGGUGCAUGGGGAGGGCCUCCCCACAGACAGCGGCAGGCCGAGGGCCUUUCUUCUGCACGGACUUUGGAGCCAAGCACACCUGGGUAUGGAUCUUGACUUUGCUGGUGAAUGUGCAGCCAAUCCUGUCUGCUCCCAGAGCCCAGCUUUUCCUAUGAAACAGAGAGGAGACCCCCUCGCAGAGCUGCAGUGAGGAGCUACAGCGGCAGCAGGAUCUUCUCAAGAUGGAAAUCUGAUGAUGUAACACCGGCACAUCGUGCAUCGUGCAGGACCGUCUGUUCCAGGUGGACCAGAGGCCCCAGAGCAAAGAAGAAAACUGCAAAGCUUUUAGAAGACAAUCCAGCAGAUUAUCCUUAUGGCCAUGGGCUAGGGAAGGAUUUCUUCAACAAGAUGUCAAAAUUAAUGAGUGAAGGAAAAUAUGGAUCAAUUUGACU
Long non-coding RNA from Manis pentadactyla (Chinese pangolin), 882 nucleotides. RefSeq lists it as uncharacterized. Lineage: Eukaryota; Metazoa; Chordata; Mammalia; Pholidota; Manidae. The transcript has 3 exons. The record is from RefSeq and is a predicted model, not a curated record.